This 477-nucleotide ribosomal RNA is filed under the name uncultured bacterium. RNAcentral describes it as "partial 16S ribosomal RNA". It matches the Rfam family "Bacterial small subunit ribosomal RNA", at positions 28 to 507 of the family's 1533-position model. The record is from RNAcentral.
GAUUAACGCUGGCGGCGUGCAUAACACAUGCAAGUCGAACGAUGAAACUCAGCAGACUUCUUCGGAACGACACUAAGCGGAUUAGUGGAGAACGGGUGAGUAAGCCGUGAGCAAUCUGCCAUAUACAAGGGGCUAGCCCUAGGAAACGAAGAAUACUACUCUAUAAAACCAUAAAAGCAAAUGCUAGAAUGGUCAAGGUGAUAGCCGCGUAAGAUGGGCUUGCGUCUGAUUAGCUAGUUGGUGAGAUAAAAGCUCACCAAGGCAACUAUCAGUAGCCGGCGUGAGACAGUGUACGGUGACAUUGAGACUCGGACACGGCCCAGACGCCUACGAGAAGCAGCAGUUGGGGAUUAAGCACAAGGAGGGUAACGCAGAUGCGGCGACGCCGCGUUAUUGAGAAGGGCGUCGGGAUCUAAAAAUCUUUGGUAUGGGAAGAAAAUGACGGUACUAUACAAAUAAGGACCGGCUAAUUACGUG